AUUUUCCUAAACUAAUAGAAACAAUAUAGAAAUAUCAAAUAAAAGAAUAUACACUUUGUAAAGUUCAUGGAAAUUCGAAAGAAGCAAAUUAAUCAUCUGCGUGCUUCGCCCGAGGAAAGAGUUCCUGGCAAAUGUCAGGAAAAGCCAAGUUAAAGACAGAAUCGAAGAAUGCGUUUAUAUCGUUCGCGAAAGACAACGCGGUGCUCGUUGUCUCGUUAAGUCGACAGAGAUCGAGCGUUCGUUCCUUUGGUCUGCGAGAAAGAGCAUCGCCCCUUUUCAAUACGUCAACCUCAUUCUACCUCCGGGGACCCUGGAAUCUUUUCUCUGAGCUAGGUAACUCACGAAGACGUCCUUUGCAUAAGGGAACACGGUCUUUGAUAAAAGAGAAAAAACAAGGAUCCAAGAAAUAACGAUGCUGUGGGAAAGUAAACAAAGCUUAUAAAAAAAACGGGAAGUUUUAAACAACAAAAUUGCAACAACAGCGAAAAAUACGAACGUUGGAAACGAGAACGUUGCAGAACGAAGAAGAUCAGAAGAAGGAAGUGUCUAAAAAAAACUGAGAAAAAAGAAAUAAGAGGAAAGAAUAAUGGAUAUGAAGAUGCAUUAGUUGCAAUAGAACAAAAAAAUAUUUUGAUUGCAAACUUGUCAAAAAAAAGUGCUUGAAUUUAGACGAGAAGUCAUAUGACAAAUAAGAAAUAUUGGUUUUAUAUACAAGAAGUUCAAAGAAUUUUUAAUACUACAAAUAGAAAACGCGAAAAUUUUAACUACUUUAGGAUGAGAGAAAGGGGGAGUACAAAAAAUAUCAUGAAAUUCAACGAUAAUACUUGAGAGCCUAUAAAUAUUUGAAACAGAUCUUAUAUAUAUCGAAAACUAAAGAUAAGAUAACCGGAUCAUAUGUGCCCUAUUCGCUAUUUAUAAAUACUAUAGUAAAGUUAAUAGAUAGCUUAAUAAGGAUAGUGCAGGCUAUUCGUUGACUAUUAAUGAAUUAAAAGUUUUGCUAAUCUUUUUUUCAAGACUUUCAGAGCAACCACAUUCAUUCCGUUUUACAGAAGAGCAUGUGUAAAGAGUAUGUUUCACCCAAGUCGAACCAUUCCGGACCCAAGUCCAACAUCGGUAACGAUUGCGGUUUUACCAAGCCAACGAUCUAUAAUUGUCUGUCUCCUCGUCCAAUAUUACUCGCAACCGCUACGAUGAGGAGACGGAAUUCAUCCUGUACCGCGGGGAUCAGCGUCGCAGUGGAUUAAACUAUGCACGGCCAUGUCGGGAAUGCGUUGAUAACAUUAUGCGCAUCUUUUUCCCUCAUGAAUGUCACCGAGAUGCAGACGGAUGGAACGAGUGGAUUUAUAACGGAGGCGAAAGAUUCCCGUGCUCACCUCGACAAGACCACAAUUCGCAACUACGAAUUAAACAAGAAAUGCGACAAUAGUAGCAACGGCAAUGUUAAGGAAAAAGCGUAGAUUCUAAGGGAUGUCAGAGUGUGAGAUAACGUGCAUGGUUUAGGUCGUACUAAACGGGUAUACUAAACGGGUCGCCGAACAAGAAUACGCGCUCCAGCUACUGCAGCUGCGACAUUCUAACUGCUACAUGUAUAUGCCAUAUUAUAUAUAUUAACUCGUGCAGAAAAAAACAUUCUUAAUGAAAAGACAAUUAAGAGGAGACAUAGG
Acromyrmex echinatior (Panamanian leafcutter ant) is the source of this 1664-nucleotide long non-coding RNA. RefSeq lists it as uncharacterized. Lineage: Eukaryota; Metazoa; Arthropoda; Insecta; Hymenoptera; Formicidae. The record is from RefSeq and is a predicted model, not a curated record.